This 757-nucleotide ribosomal RNA is filed under the name Sceloporus ochoterenae. Its description in RNAcentral is "partial 12S ribosomal RNA". It matches the Rfam family "Bacterial small subunit ribosomal RNA", at positions 69 to 1370 of the family's 1533-position model. Lineage: Eukaryota; Metazoa; Chordata; Lepidosauria; Squamata; Phrynosomatidae. The record is from RNAcentral.
UCCACAUCCCAGUGAAAAUGCCCAACAUAGCGCAAACGGAGCAGGUAUCAGGCACAAACAUUAGCCCAAAACACCAAGCUUUGCCACACCCACACGGGCCCCCAGCAGUGAUAGACAUUAAGCAAUAAGCGACAUACUAAACCUAAAGCUUGACUUAGUUAUGGUUAAUUAAGGCCGGUAAACCUCGUGCCAGCCACCGCGGUUAUACGAAGGGCCUAAAGCAGCAAAUCACGGCGUAAAUCGUGGUCAGAACUACUACCAAACAUUAAAAAUUAAACCUGAACCCAACCGUAAAACACGGGUUAAAUGAAAUCAAACAUUCUUAACAUAAGGUAAUUUGACCCACGAAAACUAAGAAACAAACUAGGAUUAGAUACCCUACUAUGCUCAGUUGUUAAUACGAUAUUACCCUACACAAAUAUCCGCCAGAAAAUUACGAGUGAAAAACUUAAAACUCAAAGGACUUGGCGGUGCUCCACACCGACUUAGAGGAGCCUGUCCUAUAAUCGAUACCCCACGCUAAACCUCACCAAUCUUUGCCCAACAGCCUAUAUACCGCCGUCGCCAACUUACCUUGUGAAAGAAAAAUAGUGAAUACAAGAGUCGAAUCACUAAAACGUCAGGUCAAGGUGUAGCUUACAGAUUGGAAGAGAUGGGCUACAUUUUUUGACAUAAAACAUACGGCAUGGAAUCAUGAAACUCUUACCUGAAGGAGGAUUUAAUAGUAAAACUAACAAGAAAGUUAGUUUUAAAUACG